RNAcentral lists this ribosomal RNA (769 nucleotides) under uncultured bacterium. Its description in RNAcentral is "bacterial SSU rRNA". It matches the Rfam family "Bacterial small subunit ribosomal RNA", at positions 554 to 1321 of the family's 1533-position model. The record is from RNAcentral.
UUGGGCGUAAAGGGCUUGUAGGCGGUUUGUCGCGUCUGCUGUGAAAAUCCGAGGCUCAACCUCGGACUUGCAGUGGGUACGGGCAGACUAGAGUGUGGUAGGGGAGACUGGAAUUCCUGGUGUAGCGGUGAAAUGCGCAGAUAUCAGGAGGAACACCGAUGGCGAAGGCAGGUCUCUGGGCCACUACUGACGCUGAGAAGCGAAAGCAUGGGGAGCGAACAGGAUUAGAUACCCUGGUAGUCCAUGCCGUAAACGUUGGGCGCUAGGUGUGGGACUCAUUCCACGAGUUCCGUGCCGCAGCUAACGCAUUAAGCGCCCCGCCUGGGGAGUACGGCCGCAAGGCUAAAACUCAAAGGAAUUGACGGGGGCCCGCACAAGCGGCGGAGCAUGCGGAUUAAUUCGAUGCAACGCGAAGAACCUUACCAAGGCUUGACAUAUACCGGUAACACCCAGAGAUGGGUGCCCCUUUUUGGUCGGUAUACAGGUGGUGCAUGGUUGUCGUCAGCUCGUGUCGUGAGAUGUUGGGUUAAGUCCCGCAACGAGCGCAACCCUCGUUCUAUGUUGCCAGCACGUAAUGGUGGGGACUCAUGGAAGACUGCCGGGGUCAACUCGGAGGAAGGUGGGGAUGACGUCAAAUCAUCAUGCCCUUUAUGUCUUGGGCUUCACGCAUGCUACAAUGGCCGGUACAAUGGGCUGCGAAACCGCCAGGUGGAGCGAAUCCCAAUAAACCGGUCUCAGUUCGGAUUGGGGUCUGCAAUCUCGACCCCAU